GACGAACGCUGGCGGCGUGCUUAACACAUGCGAGUCGAACGGAAAGGCCCUGCUUUUGUGGGGUGCUCGAGUGGCGAACGGGUGAGUAACACGUGAGUAACCUGCCCUUGACUUUGGGAUAACUUCAGGAAACUGGGGCUAAUACCGGAUAGGAGCUCCUGCUGCAUGGUGGGGGUUGGAAAGUUUCGGCGGUUGGGGAUGGACUCGCGGCUUAUCAGCUUGUUGGUGGGGUAGUGGCUUACCAAGGCUUUGACGUGUAGCCGGCCUGAGAGGGUGACCGGCCACAUUGGGACUGAGAUAUGGCCCAGACUCCUACGGGAGGCAGCAGUGGGGAAUAUUGCACAAUGGGCGGAAGCCUGAUGCAGCAACGCCGCGUGCGGGAUGACGGCCUUCGGGUUGUAAACCGCUUUCGCCUGUGACGAAGCGUGAGUGACGGUAAUGGGUAAAGAAGCACCGGCUAACUACGUG
Molecule: ribosomal RNA, 468 nt
Filed under: uncultured bacterium
Lineage: Bacteria
Description: partial 16S ribosomal RNA
Rfam family: Bacterial small subunit ribosomal RNA
Source: RNAcentral